Molecule: ribosomal RNA, 495 nt
Filed under: uncultured bacterium
Lineage: Bacteria
Description: partial 16S ribosomal RNA
Rfam family: Bacterial small subunit ribosomal RNA
Source: RNAcentral
GAUGAACGCUGGCGGCGUGCCUAAUACAUGCAAGUCGAGCGAACGGACGGGAAGCUUGCUUCUCUGAUGUUAGCGGCGGACGGGUGAGUAACACGUGGAUAACCUACCUAUAAGACUGGGAUAACUUCGGGAAACCGGAGCUAAUACCGGAUAAUAUUUUGAACCGCAUGGUUCAAAAGUGAAAGACGGUCUUGCUGUCACUUAUAGAUGGAUCCGCGCUGCAUUAGCUAGUUGGUAAGGUAACGGCUUACCAAGGCAACGAUGCAUAGCCGACCUGAGAGGGUGAUCGGCCACACUGGAACUGAGACACGGUCCAGACUCCUACGGGAGGCAGCAGUAGGGAAUCUUCCGCAAUGGGCGAAAGCCUGACGGAGCAACGCCGCGUGAGUGAUGAAGGUCUUCGGAUCGUAAAACUCUGUUAUUAGGGAAGAACAUAUGUGUAAGUAACUGUGCACAUCUUGACGGUACCUAAUCAGAAAGCCACGGCUAACUACG